This 497-nucleotide ribosomal RNA is filed under the name uncultured bacterium. Its description in RNAcentral is "partial 16S ribosomal RNA". It matches the Rfam family "Bacterial small subunit ribosomal RNA", at positions 28 to 507 of the family's 1533-position model. The record is from RNAcentral.
GACGAACGCUGGCGGCGUGCCUAAUACAUGCAAGUCGAACGAGAGCGACCGGUGCUUGCACUGGUCAAUCUAGUGGCGAACGGGUGAGUACCCGUGGGUAACCUGCCCAUCAGAGGGGGAUAACAUUCGGAAACGGAUGCUAAAACCGCAUAGGUCCUUUAACCGCAUGGUUGAAGGAGGAAAAGAGGCGCAAGCUUCUGCUGAUGGAUGGACCCGCGGUGCAUUAGCUAGUUGGUGAGGUAACGGCUCACCAAGGCCGUGAUGCAUAGCCGACCUGAGAGGGUGAUCGGCCACAUUGGGACUGAGACACGGCCCAAACUCCUACGGGAGGCAGCAGUAGGGAAUCUUCCGCAAUGGACGCAAGUCUGACGGAGCAACGCCGCGUGAGUGAAGAAGGUUUUCGGAUCGUAAAACUCUGUUGUUAGAGAAGAACAAGUGCUAGAGUAACUGUUAGCGCCUUGACGGUAUCUAACCAGAAAGCCACGGCUAACUACGUG